Caretta caretta (loggerhead turtle) is the source of this 379-nucleotide non-coding RNA. NCBI's taxonomy places the organism in Eukaryota, Metazoa, Chordata, Testudines, Cheloniidae. The record is from RefSeq and is a predicted model, not a curated record.
GAUGUCAAACAACUAUCCUGAUGUGAACUCCUUACAGAUGAGCCCUGGGAGAAAGCUGCCUUAGGCAGUGCUACAUCUUAGAGUUAUGAGUGCAACUGCAUCUUGACUGGGAAUCACCUCGCUGCUGAUCCAGUCCUGGUCUUCUCACGAGCACAGUGACAAUUAUGGGACACAGACAAAAGAGGAAGCAAAUUACUGGUACAAUUCAAGUUCACUUUGAUUUACUGUAUUAAGCAGGAAAUGGCUGAGGACUGACUAGGUGAAGCAUCAUCCAUGCUCUGCUGUGAAUCUCCAAAGUUGAUAUCAGCUAGUGUGUUUGAGCUAACAGUCCCCAGUUCUACAUGUCAGGUGACAGGACGUUCUCAGAGGCAGGCUUUGG